AUCGCUUCUCGGCCUUUUGGCUAAGAUCAAGUGUAGUAUCUGUUCUUAUCAGUUUAAAAAAGAAAAACCAAAAACAAAUGUAAGUUAAAUCCCCAUUGUCCCACUACAAUACAGAGCCACAUUUUCAAGAAAACUAGGAGCUGCACUCAUCUUCUACCUCUUGGACUUCUG
This is a small nuclear RNA of Rattus norvegicus (Norway rat), 171 nucleotides long. Ensembl annotates it as U2 spliceosomal RNA. NCBI's taxonomy places the organism in Eukaryota, Metazoa, Chordata, Mammalia, Rodentia, Muridae. The record is from Ensembl.